UCCCUGGUGGCUCAGACGGUAAAGCGUCUGCCUGCAGUGCAGGAACCCGGGUUCAAUUUCUGGGUCAGGAAG
Molecule: non-coding RNA, 72 nt
Organism: Ovis aries (sheep)
Lineage: Eukaryota; Metazoa; Chordata; Mammalia; Artiodactyla; Bovidae
Source: Rfam